CCUACGGGUGGCUGCAGUGAGGAAUAUUGGUCAAUGGGCGAGAGCCUGAACCAGCCAAGUAGCGUGAAGGAUGACUGCCCUACGGGUUGUAAACUUCUUUUAUAUGGGAAUAAAGUGCAGCAUGUAUGCCUUUUUGUAUGUACCAUAUGAAUAAGGAUCGGCUAACUCCGUGCCAGCAGCCGCGGUAAUACGGAGGAUCCGAGCGUUAUCCGGAUUUAUUGGGUUUAAAGGGAGCGUAGAUGGGUGGUUAAGUCAGUUGUGAAAGUUUGCGGCUCAACCGUAAAAUUGCAGUUGAUACUGGGAGUCUUGAGUACAGUAGAGGUAGGCGGAAUUCGUGGUGUAGCGGUGAAAUGCUUAGAUAUCACGAAGAACUCCGAUUGCGAAGGCAGCUUACUAAACUGUCACUGACAUUGAUGCUCGAAAGUGUGGGUAUCAAACAGGAUUAGAUACCCUGGUAGUC
RNAcentral lists this ribosomal RNA (460 nucleotides) under uncultured bacterium. RNAcentral's name for it is "partial 16S ribosomal RNA". It matches the Rfam family "Bacterial small subunit ribosomal RNA", at positions 338 to 795 of the family's 1533-position model. The record is from RNAcentral.